RNAcentral lists this transfer RNA (71 nucleotides) under Felis catus (domestic cat). It matches the Rfam family "tRNA". From Rfam's summary of the family: Transfer RNA (tRNA) molecules are approximately 80 nucleotides in length. Lineage: Eukaryota; Metazoa; Chordata; Mammalia; Carnivora; Felidae. The record is from Rfam by way of RNAcentral. RNAcentral also lists the same sequence under 6 other names.
GCCUAGCUGGCUCAGUCAGUAAAGCAUGUGACUCAGUCUUGGGGGUGUGAGUUCAAGUCCCAUGCUGGGUA